AUUGCAGGCCGCCUUAUCGCUCUUCAAUUCGUUGAGGGGAGGAAAGUCCGGACACCAUAGGGAGGCAUAGCGGCUAACGGCCGUCGCCCUGUAGUACUUACUAUAGGGUAGGACUAGUGCAACAGAAAGUAUGUACAGAUAAUGCUGUAGUGAAAUCAUGUAAACUCUAUGCGGUGAAAUACCACGUAAACUUGCAUUUUAGGGUUCCCGCCCAACGUAAGAGGGUAGGUAGAUAGAAUUAUUUGGCAACAAAUAAUCCAGAUAAAUGAUAAGGACCACGCAUUUAGUAUGGUACAGAAUCCGGCUUACAGGCCUGCUUUUUUU
Molecule: RNase P RNA, 324 nt
Filed under: Flavobacteriaceae bacterium
Lineage: Bacteria; Pseudomonadati; Bacteroidota; Flavobacteriia; Flavobacteriales; Flavobacteriaceae
Also listed under: 1 other name
Description: RNase P RNA component class A
Rfam family: Bacterial RNase P class A
About the family: Ribonuclease P (RNase P) is a ubiquitous endoribonuclease, found in archaea, bacteria and eukarya as well as chloroplasts and mitochondria. Its best characterised activity is the generation of mature 5'-ends of tRNAs by cleaving the 5'-leader elements of precursor-tRNAs. Cellular RNase Ps are ribonucleoproteins.
Source: RNAcentral